UACGUAGGGGGCAAGCGUUGUCCGGAUUUAUUGGGCGUAAAGAGCGUGUAGGCGGCCAGGUAGGUCCGUUGUGAAAACUGGAGGCUUAACCUCCAGCUGUCGAUGGAAACCAUCUGGCUAGAGUCCGGAAGAGGAGAGUGGAAUUCCUGGUGUAGCGGUGAAAUGCGCAGAUAUCAGGAGGAACACCUGUGGCGAAAGCGGCUCACUGGACCACAACUGACGCUGAUGCGCGAAAGCUAGGGGAGCAAACAGG
RNAcentral lists this ribosomal RNA (253 nucleotides) under uncultured bacterium. Its description in RNAcentral is "partial 16S ribosomal RNA". It matches the Rfam family "Bacterial small subunit ribosomal RNA", at positions 524 to 776 of the family's 1533-position model. The record is from RNAcentral.